AAAUUGAAGAGUUUGAUCAUGGCUCAGAUUGAACGCUGGCGGCAGGCCUAACACAUGCAAGUCGAACGGUAACAGGAAGAAGCUUGCUUCUUUGCUGACGAGUGGCGGACGGGUGAGUAAUGUCUGGGAAACUGCCUGAUGGAGGGGGAUAACUACUGGAAACGGUAGCUAAUACCGCAUAACGUCGCAAGACCAAAGAGGGGGACCUUCGGGCCUCUUGCCAUCGGAUGUGCCCAGAUGGGAUUAGCUAGUAGGUGGGGUAACGGCUCACCUAGGCGACGAUCCCUAGCUGGUCUGAGAGGAUGACCAGCCACACUGGAACUGAGACACGGUCCAGACUCCUACGGGAGGCAGCAGUGGGGAAUAUUGCACAAUGGGCGCAAGCCUGAUGCAGCCAUGCCGCGUGUAUGAAGAAGGCCUUCGGGUUGUAAAGUACUUUCAGCGGGGAGGAAGGGAGUGAAGUUAAUACCUUUGCUCAUUGACGUUACCCGCAGAAGAAGCACCGGCUAACUCCGUGCCAGCAGCCGCGGUAAUACGGAGGGUGCAAGCGUUAAUCGGAAUUACUGGGCGUAAAGCGCACGCAGGCGGUUUGUUAAGUCAGAUGUGAAAUCCCCGGGCUCAACCUGGGAACUGCAUCUGAUACUGGCAAGCUUGAGUCUCGUAGAGGGGGGUAGAAUUCCAGGUGUAGCGGUGAAAUGCGUAGAGAUCUGGAGGAAUACCGGUGGCGAAGGCGGCCCCCUGGACGAAGACUGACGCUCAGGUGCGAAAGCGUGGGGAGCAAACAGGAUUAGAUACCCUGGUAGUCCACGCCGUAAACGAUGUCGACUUGGAGGUUGUGCCCUUGAGGCGUGGCUUCCGGAGCUAACGCGUUAAGUCGACCGCCUGGGGAGUACGGCCGCAAGGUUAAAACUCAAAUGAAUUGACGGGGGCCCGCACAAGCGGUGGAGCAUGUGGUUUAAUUCGAUGCAACGCGAAGAACCUUACCUGGUCUUGACAUCCACGGAAGUUUUCAGAGAUGAGAAUGUGCCUUCGGGAACCGUGAGACAGGUGCUGCAUGGCUGUCGUCAGCUCGUGUUGUGAAAUGUUGGGUUAAGUCCCGCAACGAGCGCAACCCUUAUCCUUUGUUGCCAGCGGUCCGGCCGGGAACUCAAAGGAGACUGCCAGUGAUAAACUGGAGGAAGGUGGGGAUGACGUCAAGUCAUCAUGGCCCUUACGACCAGGGCUACACACGUGCUACAAUGGCGCAUACAAAGAGAAGCGACCUCGCGAGAGCAAGCGGACCUCAUAAAGUGCGUCGUAGUCCGGAUUGGAGUCUGCAACUCGACUCCAUGAAGUCGGAAUCGCUAGUAAUCGUGGAUCAGAAUGCCACGGUGAAUACGUUCCCGGGCCUUGUACACACCGCCCGUCACACCAUGGGAGUGGGUUGCAAAAGAAGUAGGUAGCUUAACCUUCGGGAGGGCGCUUACCACUUUGUGAUUCAUGACUGGGGUGAAGUCGUAACAAGGUAACCGUAGGGGAACCUGCGGUUGGAUCACCUCCUUACCUUAAAGAAGC
RNAcentral lists this ribosomal RNA (1554 nucleotides) under Escherichia coli. Its description in RNAcentral is "bacterial SSU rRNA". It matches the Rfam family "Bacterial small subunit ribosomal RNA". Lineage: Bacteria; Pseudomonadati; Pseudomonadota; Gammaproteobacteria; Enterobacterales; Enterobacteriaceae. The record is from RNAcentral.